CCUACGGGUUGCAGCAGUGGGGAAUAUUGCACAAUGGGCGCAAGCCUGAUGCAGCGACGCCGCGUGAGGGAUGACGGCCUUCGGGUUGUAAACCUCUUUCAGUAGGGAAGAAGCGAAAGUGACGGUACCUGCAGAAGAAGCGCCGGCUAACUACGUGCCAGCAGCCGCGGUAAUACGUAGGGCGCAAGCGCUAUCCGGAAUUAUUGGGCGUAAGGAGCUCGUAGGCGGUUUGUCGCGUCUGCCGUGAAAGUCCGGGGCUCUACUCCGGAUCUGCGGUGGGUACGGGCAGACUAGAGUGAUGUAGGGGAGACUGGAAUUCCUGGUGUAGCGGUGAAAUGCGCAGAUAUCAGGAGGAACACCGAUGGCGAAGGCAGGUCUCUGGGCAUUAACUGACGCUGAGGAGCGAAAGCAUGGGGAGCGAACAGGAUUAGAUACCCCUGUAGUC
This 445-nucleotide ribosomal RNA is filed under the name uncultured bacterium. Its description in RNAcentral is "bacterial SSU rRNA". It matches the Rfam family "Bacterial small subunit ribosomal RNA", at positions 338 to 795 of the family's 1533-position model. The record is from RNAcentral.